This is a non-coding RNA of Cinara cedri, 223 nucleotides long. NCBI's taxonomy places the organism in Eukaryota, Metazoa, Arthropoda, Insecta, Hemiptera, Aphididae. The record is from the annotation of a GenBank genome assembly.
AAUUAUACAUUUUUGAAUAAUAAAUAUUAUUUAUUUUAACUUUCCAAAAAUUAAUUAAUAGUAUAUAUUUUUAAGGUAAUGAAUACAUAGCAGUAUUUAAGUUACCGCCAUUAUUGUUUCAACAGCCAACCAUAAACCUUGAUAGAAAACGUACAAUUGAUGGGAAUCAUUCUGGAGACAUUCUAAAGUAAAGCAAGCCGCUGCGUUUAUAACAUUUAUAUCU